GAGCAAGAGAGAGUGAGAGAGCGAGAGAAUUCAGAAAUGAGAUCUCCCUGCCUUUGGCUGCAUCAGGAUUCUCACACACCUUUACCCACUCACCAGCCUUGCUAAAGCAGCAAGAUUCUUCAUCCACCGGCUAACAGAACGUACCGAGCGUUACCUUGCAUCUUUCUCUCUCUUACACGCACAUUCACACACACGCACAGAGACACACGUGAGCAAGCUCGCAGACCCAGCAGAGCAGCCAGAGAAAUUUAGAUUAACAGUGAUACUUUGAGAGGUGACUUACUGCCUUGCUGUCUGUCGGAGAGGACUAGAACUGCAGAUUGCACUGUAGAUAUGGAUCCAGAGAUGGAUAAGUGCUCUUCCAUCUCUCCUCAGAAACAGGUGGUGAAGAACCGGUCAAAGUCGACUGGGGAGAUCCAGCAAGCCAAAAAGGCCUUUCACACGCCUCAGAAGUCUUUGCCAGGGAGGUCGGACCUGGAGAAGCUGAAGGAAACCUCAGAGGCUUUGGAGACUGCAUCCUCACCCUCAGAGGAGCUGAAAUGAUGGAAGCUGUGAGGAAGACGAGCUGACUCACUGACCAUCAUCUAAGGGUUCCUCGCUGGAUUUUAUUGUGGUUGGAGCCAUUUGUGCUGUUGCUUUUAUGUUGGAGAAAAGAACAUAUUGCCUAUCUGUGACAUUAGCUAAACUUCACCCCAGCAAAACUGUGUUCCACCCAGUACAUUAUAUUAUAUCAUUUAACAGACGCUCUUAC
This is a long non-coding RNA of Megalops cyprinoides (Indo-Pacific tarpon), 751 nucleotides long. RefSeq lists it as uncharacterized. NCBI's taxonomy places the organism in Eukaryota, Metazoa, Chordata, Actinopteri, Elopiformes, Megalopidae. The record is from RefSeq and is a predicted model, not a curated record. The transcript is spliced from 5 exons.